CUGGCUGUAGUAUAGUGGUUAGUACCCCACGUUGUGGCCGUGGAGACCUGGGUUCAAUUCUCAGCAGCCACA
RNAcentral lists this transfer RNA (72 nucleotides) under Brassica napus (rape). It matches the Rfam family "tRNA". From Rfam's summary of the family: Transfer RNA (tRNA) molecules are approximately 80 nucleotides in length. Their secondary structure includes four short double-helical elements and three loops (D, anti-codon, and T loops). The record is from Rfam by way of RNAcentral. Lineage: Eukaryota; Viridiplantae; Streptophyta; Magnoliopsida; Brassicales; Brassicaceae.